UUUUUUUUUUUUUGUUUUUUUGGUUUUUUUCCACUAAAGAAAUGAAGAAAUUGAAUGUCAGAGAGGUUAAGCAACUUGCCAAAAUGCUAAUAAGCCUGGCAGUUCAGGUAAGGGAGGUUUCUUCACUUCCAACCCAAUGUAUCCCUGGACCAUCAGUAGUAACAUGAGGCCUGACCAGCACAUUCCACGUUCCUGCACUGUGCCCCAGGAAUUCCAGGAUCUAUAAAUUCAAGUGCUGACCAAAUUUAGGUGACUAUGAGUUCUGAUGAUCUCACCAGUUGCAAAGUACUGAAAUAUAUCUCGUUCCAUUCAAAUUCUUGCCUUUAUAAUUUAGUUCUUUCUCAGAUUAUGUCACAUGCUACUUACUCACAGAUUUUGAAAUGAGAGUCUAAAAUAAGAUGAAAGGCAGGAAAUUCCAACUUAGAACUGAUUGCUGUCCAGAACCAGGCAUUAAAGUGAAAAGACAAAACCACCUCCUUGAAUAAUGCCUUAUUUUUUACAUUUUCUCCAAUUACUCUCGAGUAAUUUUUAAAAUGUCACAUACAUUUAUGUAUUUAUGUGUUAAAUACAUUAAGGAACAUAGAUUAAAAGGUUAUUUCUAAAAAUCUAAAGAUUUACUUAUCUAGAAUUCUUACAGUAUCCAAUCUGAGUCUUCAAAUUAGCUCCUUUAUGAUUUUUUUCUAUUACAAUUUUUAAACAUUUUUCUCUACCAAAAGAAUAUUCAAAUUGCUCUCUAUGGUUUUAAAAUAAAUGUUUUGGGGAUCCCUGGGUGGCUCAGCGGUGUAGCACCUGCUUUUGACCCAGGGCGUGAUCCUGGAGUCCCGGGAUCGAGUCCCGCAUCGGGCUCCCGGCAUGAAGCCUGCUUCUCCCUCCUCCUGUGUCUCUGCCUCUCUCUCUCUCUCUCUCUCUCUCUCUGUCUAUCAUAAAUAAAUAAAUAAAUCUUUAAAAAAUAAAAAAAUAAAAAAAUGAAAAUAAAAUAAAUGUUUUAUGUUAAUAUAAUCAAAAUAAUCUUUACACUAUAUUUAUAAUAAAACUGAUACCAAAGAUCUUACUAACCAAAAAAAAAAAAAAAAUCUUAUUGACCAACAAAUGUCUAAUCUGAAUAGCUAAAAUCUCCAUAUUCAUAAUCUUACUUCAAUUACUAUUCAGUUACCUAGAAUUUAUUAAAGCAUCACAGAAUGUAUUUUAUAGGUAUUUUACUUGUAUUUCCUCCUCUCAAAAAUGAUUCUAAUUUUGUGCACUGGUUCUCUAAAAUAAUUUACUUCUUAGCAAAUAUUAUCUUGGAACAAACUGAAGUAUUUAGGGAGUAAUGAUAUGACAUUACGGAUCCUCUGUAAAAUAUUCCACUUACCCUCAAAAGGGUGAGGGAGGGGGAUGAUAGAUAAAACAAGAAUGUCUAAAUGUCGAUAAUAGAGGAGUACAUUCAAGUUCAUAAUACUGUUCCAGUUUUAUGUAUAUUUGAAAAUUUCCAUAAGUUUUUUAGGCCUCCCACCAUUAAAGACACAGAGAGAAGUCACUACCUAUGAACCAAGGAAGAGGGUCUUCAUCAAACCAUACUGUCACUGUAAUCUCAGAUUGUCAGCCUCCAGAACUGUGAGAAUUAAAUUUGGGGGUUUUUAAGAUAUAUUUAUUAGAGAGAGAGAAAGCAUGAAUGGGAGGGACAGAGGAAGAGGGAAAGAGAAUCUCCUGCAGAUUCCAUGCUUAGUGCAGAGCCCCAAGUGGGACUCGAUUCCACUACCCUGAGACCAUGAUCCCAACCGAAACCAAUAGUCAGACACUCAACUGACUGCACCACUCAAGCAUCCCAUCCCUGUUGUUUUGCUAAGUUUUUUAAAAUCUCAUAUAUUGGUUCUUACCAGGGGCCAGGCAAAAUUAUAAGCACUUUACCUAUAUAAACUCAUUUAACCCUCCAACAACUCUAUGAGAUAGGUACUCAUUUUACAGAUAAAGAAACUGAGGGGGCAGCCCGGGUGGCACAGUGGUUUAGCGCCGCCUGCAGCCCAGGGCAUGAUCCUGGAGACCUGGGAUGGAGUCCCACGUCUGGCUCCCUGCAUGAAGCCUGCUUCUCCCUCUGCCUGUGUCUCUGCCUCUCUCUCUGUGUGUGUCUCUAUGAAAAAAAUAAAUAAAAUCUUAAAAAAAAAAAAAAAAAACUGAGGCAUGGAAAGUUAGGUAGAUCAUAAAGUAAGCUGAAAUUCAAAUCCAGAUUUUCUGGGUACAUGUGGACAUGGAAAAGCCUGGAAAAUACAUGUUAUGGGUGAUUUUUAUUUUUGCUUGUUUCUAUUUUCUAAGUUUUUCACAAGAACAUGUGUUUUUAUAAUUUUGAAUAGUUACCAAAACAUUUAUUCAGAUGCUAACAUGUUCUUGAGAAGCAAAAGGUAUGACUUUCUGAAACCAAAUUACUGCAAGUAUAGAAAUUCAUCACUAACAAGUGUCAUAUAGUGAUCAACAAACUAGGAAAAUUUUAGAAAUGAUAAAAGAUUACUUUGUUAUUAGCCAUUUUACCAGUGCUUUAUGGAAAGAAUAAUAUUGAAACAAGGUCAUGUAAUUUAACUAGAUAGAUACAAUUAACUUUAGACCACUUAAAACCUUCUUCCGUUUUUAAAGAGAAACAUAACUAUUAUAAUUUUCCAAUUUAGACUCCUGGGAAAUUUUACACCAAAAUAAAAGCUCUCAUUCUUCAAAAGAAUUAUAUUUGAUUACACAUAAAUAGGCUUAGAAGUUAAAUGCCAACAUUUGUCUUGAUUGCUGCUAACAGACCAUUCAACCUCAUUUCUUAUUUUCCAUGAAAACAAAAUUAUUAAGAGUUACAGUUCAGUUAUUUUAACUUGCAUUCUUAGUACUUAUGCUGAAGAGCAAUGAGCAAAGGAAUUUUUUACAGGAAGAUAGUAAAUUUUGCAGCUAUUAACUAAGUCAAUGGUAGCCCAAGAUGGGCAUGGAGACUAUAUUCCAGUCCUGAAUGGAUGAAUACAAUCACAAAAACAAGAUCACACUGCUGGAAUCAUUCGGAAAUAAAACAGUGCAGUGUGAAGCAAUAUCAUGUUUUUUGCAAACCCUAAGACUGUCCAUCAUGAAGAUGAACAAACGUCUUUAAUCCAAUUAUGCUUACAGUCUUGUACACUUCUAUCAUCAUCAUGACAGAGCAACCUGACAUAGAGACCGAAGUACAUGGGGCUCAGGGUCAGUGCAAAGGGAACAAAGAACAAAGCCUAGACAAAUCCUGGCAGCACCAACCAUUAAAAUCUAUGAUAAUCACUUACUACCUCAGAGCCUGUUUCCUUUUUGGUUAAAUAUAGGGACACCUGCCUCACAAGUGGUUAGAGUAACAUUAUGAGUGUGCCUGAAAGCCAAGAGGAUCUUGACAUAGUAGAUACUCUAAAAAUAUGUCCCCUCCCUCCCUUGAUACCAUGUGGGAUGGUCAAGGGAGGUGAAUGAUGGAAGAAAACUUGAGUUUUAGUUAUUUUUUUUAAAUUUUUUUAAUUUAAUUAUUCAUAGAGACACAGAGAGAGAGAGGCAGAGACACAGGCAGAGGGAGAAGCAGGCUCCAUGCAGAAGCCCAACGUGGGACUCGAUCAGGGUCUCCAGGAUCAUGACCCUGGCCGAAGGCAGCGCUAAACCACUGGGCCACCGGGGCUGCCCUUGAGUUUUAGUUGUAAGUAGGUUUUCCCUGAUCAAAGACCAGUGGGAUCUUGUAUGUAAGUCGCCAGCCUCAAAGUCAGAAACUAUAUGAGAUUCCCACUCAAAAUAUAGCUGAAUUUUAACAUACCUGCUGAAAACCUUUCAAUAGCUUCCCACUACACUUUGUAAUAAAAUAAAAACUUCUUAGAAAUAGUGAAAUGGACCAUAAGGGAAAGGAGGAAAACUGAGUGGAGAAAAAUUAGAGGAAGACAAACCAUGAGAGAUUCCUGGCUCUGGAAACAAAUAAAGGGUUGCAGCAGAAGGGGAGGUUGGUGGGGAGAUGAAGUGACUGGAUGACGAGUAUUAAGGAGAACACAUGAUGAGAUUAGCACUGGGUGUUAUACUAUAUGUUGGCAAAUUGAAUUUAAAUAUUUAAAAAAAAAAAAAAAAAAACUUCUUAGCAUGGCCAAAAGGUCCUACAUGAUUUGGUCUUACAACUCACCCUUAGUCAGGAAGCUUUAACCACAAUGAGCCCAAUGUGUUCCAUAAACCCCCCAAGCUCUUUCCAGCUCCAGGUCUGGAACUCUCAGGACCCUCAGCCUCAAGCAUCCUUGCCUUCUUGUUCAAACAGCUGACUCUUUAUGUCCUCCAUGUCUUCCCUUGAGCCUUCCCUAUACCAUUGCAUCAAGUAGCUCCCAACCGACUACCCCCAGUGACCCAUUACUUUCCUUCACAGCUUUAUAACAAUUUCAAAUGAUCAUCAUUUACUUAUUUCUGCUGCCCCUCUCUGCCUCCCA
Molecule: long non-coding RNA, 4412 nt
Filed under: Canis lupus familiaris (dog)
Lineage: Eukaryota; Metazoa; Chordata; Mammalia; Carnivora; Canidae
Description: lncRNA (ENSCAFG00000054308.1)
Source: RNAcentral